AAAUUUAGUCCAUUUCAACAAGAAAAGCAACAUCGUCACACAUUCAAGUUGUAAAACUUCGAAACAUAAGAUGAUCUCCAGCAAAUCCAAAAAAUGAUACAGAAUGAUCUGUUUGAGAAAGCAACGAAAUUCUGGAUUUGGAAUGUACUGACUCGUCAUCAGUCAGUUGUUGUACCGAAAUGCGUUCUACAUCGAGUAACUCGGAUGAGACAUCCGAGCGUUCGUCGUUGUGAUCCAAGGAAUUCUUAUGAAGAUUGAAUUUGUGACAUACUUCAAAGGCCUGACCGACGCCGACAAACUGCAAUACAAAGAGCAGAACAAAAGGUGUGAUAAUGAAUUAUUUAUGAACAAAAAAGGAGCAAAAUUCAGCAAUGCAAAAACACACAUACAUAAAUGAUGAAGAAAGAGAACGUUGGAUAUAAGGAAAAGGUACAAUUGUAUAAAAAGGCAAAGUGGACAGCUGAAAUGGAGAGAGAGAGAGAGGGCUUGAAACAAAGUAAACUUUAUAUGUUACCGCUGAGUGAUACAGAAGCGCAAUAAUUGAAAACUCAAUUAAUAAAAGGGUUUCGCAAUGGAAAUACGUAUGUAUAGUAAGUAUGAGUUGUUUGCGGUUCCCAAAAUAAAUUUUGUUAAUUUUGCGAAGACACGUUUCAUUUCAUUGCCCAUAGACGGAUUUAUACUCUAUAACAACCAUUUUAUUUAUAUAUAUGUCAGUGUGUAUUAUUGUUGUUAGCUAAAUUAAAGCAAUAAAUAUUAAUCUCUUCUUGCUUGUGGCAAGUGCUGAAAUGCGCAGAUAAAACGGAAUAUCUCAAUUUACAGUGACAUACCUACAGACACAGCGUCAAAUGUAGAAAAUAACUGAUUAAACGCCUGCCUCAAAACAAUGACAGGCGAGACCUAAAUCACGCUUGACCGCAAAAUGAAUCAGAAACAAAGGCAAAUGCCACAGCGUGUACUCGAUGGAGGCAAAAUAAAAAAGUAAUCUUCUUCUUCUGCUUCUUCAUUGUCUUAACUGAAAAGGAUUGCAUUUCCUUGCUGCGGCGUUGAAAAGAUAGAAUCUUCGAAAAUAAGAAGCUGCUAAUAGAAAAUGUACCAAGAAAAGGUAAUUACA
Zeugodacus cucurbitae (melon fly) is the source of this 1111-nucleotide RNA transcript. RefSeq lists it as uncharacterized. Lineage: Eukaryota; Metazoa; Arthropoda; Insecta; Diptera; Tephritidae. The record is from RefSeq and is a predicted model, not a curated record. The transcript has 3 exons.